CACGUAGGGGCCAAGCGUUGUCCGGAUUUAUUGGGCGUAAAGAGCGUGUAGGCGGCCAUAUAAGUCGGGGGUGAAAGCCUGUGGCUCAACCACAGAAUUGCCUUCGAUACUGUAUGGCUCGAGACCGGAAGAGGUAAGUGGAACUGCGAGUGUAGAGGUGAAAUUCGUAGAUAUUCGCAAGAACACCAGUGGCGAAGGCGGCUUACUGGUCCGGUUCUGACGCUGAGGCGCGAAAGCGUGGGGAGCAAACAGG
RNAcentral lists this ribosomal RNA (253 nucleotides) under uncultured bacterium. RNAcentral's name for it is "partial 16S ribosomal RNA". It matches the Rfam family "Bacterial small subunit ribosomal RNA", at positions 524 to 776 of the family's 1533-position model. The record is from RNAcentral.